This 468-nucleotide ribosomal RNA is filed under the name uncultured bacterium. RNAcentral's name for it is "partial 16S ribosomal RNA". It matches the Rfam family "Bacterial small subunit ribosomal RNA", at positions 28 to 507 of the family's 1533-position model. The record is from RNAcentral.
GAUGAACGCUAGCGGCGUGCUUAACACAUGCAAGUCGAACGGAAAGGCCCAAGCUUGCUUGGGUACUCGAGUGGCGAACGGGUGAGUAACGCGUGGGUGAUCUGCCCUGCACUUCGGGAUAAGCCUGGGAAACUGGGUCUAAUACCGGAUAGGACGAUGGUUUGGAUGCCAUUGUGGAAAGUUUUUUCGGUGUGGGAUGAGCUCGCGGCCUAUCAGCUUGUUGGUGGGGUAAUGGCCUACCAAGGCGUCGACGGGUAGCCGGCCUGAGAGGGUGUACGGCCACAUUGGGACUGAGAUACGGCCCAGACUCCUACGGGAGGCAGCAGUGGGGAAUAUUGCACAAUGGGCGCAAGCCUGAUGCAGCGACGCCGCGUGGGGGAUGACGGCCUUCGGGUUGUAAACUCCUUUCGCUAGGGACGAAGCGUUUUUGUGACGGUACCUGGAGAAGAAGCACCGGCUAACUACGUG